GAAUCCCCUCAAUGAGACACCUACCCUGGAGCCUGGGUCAGAUUAAUGGAAUCCCCUCAAUGAGACACGGAGCCUGGAGACAGUUGUUUGGUAUGGAGGCUCCAGCUACUGUUAACCUGACUGGCUGGAGGAGACAUUUCAACAGCUACACACUACAGGGCCGACGCAACUUUGUCCUGGCUACCUAUGGUGUCCUAGCGUUGUCAGCAGCAGCCUAUAUGAUACACAAACGGAGUAAAGAGGACCCCAGAGUAGCCAGCCCCACUGCCUGACUGACACCCUCUCUCAAUGUUCAAUGUCCAAUGUCCAACGCUUUAUUGACCUGAUAUUCACAUUGUUUUCCAAUACUACCAAAUCAGAGAUUCAUAACAGCAGCGCUCUCUCUCUCUUCCGCUCCCUCCCUCUCUUCCGCUCCCUCCCCUCCCUCUCUCUCUCACUCUCUCCCUCCCUCUUCCGCUCCCUCCCUCUCUCCCUCCCUCUUCCGCUCCCUCCCUCCCCUCCCUCUCUCUCACUCUCACUCUCUCCCUCUCUCUUCCGCUCCCUCCCUCUCUUCCGCUCCCUCCCUCUCACUCUCACUCUCUCCCUCCCUCUUCCGCUCCCUCCCUCUUCCGCUCCCUCCCUCUUCCGCUCCCUCCCUCUUCCGCUCCCUCCCUCUUCCGCUCCCUCCCUCCCCUCCCUCUCUCUCACUCUCACUCUCUCCCUCUCUCUACCGCUCCCUCCCUCUCUUCCGCUCCCUCCCUCUCACUCUCACUCUCUCCCUCCCUCUUCCGCUCCCUCCCUCUUCCGCUCCCUCCCUCUUCCGCUCCCUCCCUCUUCCGCUCCCUCCCUCUUUUCCGCUCCCUCCCUCUCUUCCGCUCCCUCCCUCCCUUUCUCUCUCGCUCUCUCUCUCUCUCGCUCUCUCUCUCAAUGUUAAUAAAUAGAAUUUAAUCCAG
This 932-nucleotide long non-coding RNA is filed under the name Salmo salar (Atlantic salmon). Its description in RNAcentral is "lncRNA (ENSSSAG00000101045.1)". Lineage: Eukaryota; Metazoa; Chordata; Actinopteri; Salmoniformes; Salmonidae. The record is from RNAcentral.